This 541-nucleotide ribosomal RNA is filed under the name uncultured eukaryote. Its description in RNAcentral is "bacterial SSU rRNA". It matches the Rfam family "Eukaryotic small subunit ribosomal RNA", at positions 21 to 555 of the family's 1831-position model. The record is from RNAcentral.
UAGUCAUAUGCUUGUCUCAAUGACCAACCCAUGCAUGUCUAUGUAUAAACUACUUUAUACUCUAUACCUGCGAACGGCUCAUUAUAUCCGCAAUUAUUUAUUUGUUGGUUCCUCCCUCCAUGGAUAACUGUGGUAAUUUUAGAGCUAAUACACCCGUCAAAUCCCGACUCUCGCGGGGAGGGAUGUCCUUUUUAGAUAAAAAACCAAUGUGUGCUUGCCCCGUCUUGUGGUGAAUCAUACUAACUUUUCGGAUCGCAUAGCUUCACGCUGGCGAUAGUUCAUUCAAAUUUCUCCCCUAUCAGCUUUCGACGGUAGUGUAGUGGACUACCGUGGCGUUAACGGGUGACGGAGAACUAGGGUUUGUUUCCGGAGAGGGAGCUUCCGAAACGGCUACCACAUCCAUGGAAGGCAGCAGGCGCGCAAAUUACCCAAUCCUGAUCACAGGGAGGUAGAGACAAAAAAUAUCAAUAUCUGGCUUUCUUAAGUCGGGUAACUUGGAAUGAGUACAAUAUAAAUCCCUUAUCGACAUACCAGGGGAGGU